This 204-nucleotide long non-coding RNA is filed under the name Vitis vinifera (wine grape). Its description in RNAcentral is "long non-coding RNA (VVIN_LNC006798)". Lineage: Eukaryota; Viridiplantae; Streptophyta; Magnoliopsida; Vitales; Vitaceae. The record is from RNAcentral.
UCUUUUGCAAGGUAUCCUAGUAUAAUAAAAAUCAAGCCUUCGUGGAGCAGGUCAUGACCUUAUUACUAGUUAGAGACCUUCUCAAAUUGAUCUACUUGCCUUAACCAUAAAGGUAUCUAAAGGCAAGAUCAACAUACCUUUUGGUUUGGUAAGCCUAAUAUAUAUAUAUAAAAAAAAAUUAUAUGCAAUAGAGCAGUUUCUUUC